Molecule: ribosomal RNA, 254 nt
Filed under: uncultured bacterium
Lineage: Bacteria
Description: partial 16S ribosomal RNA
Rfam family: Bacterial small subunit ribosomal RNA
Source: RNAcentral
UACGGGGGGAGCAAGCGUUGUUCGGAUUUACUGGGCGUAAAGGGCGCGUAGGCGGUCGUGACAAGUCACUUGUGAAAUCUCCGGGCUUAACCGGGAAACUGCAUCGGAAACUGGUCGGCUUGAAGGUGGGAGAGGGUAGCGGAAUUCCCGGUGUAGUGGUGAAAUGCGUAGAUAUCGGGAGGAACACCAGUGGCGAAGGCGGCUACCUGGCCCAUUCUUGACGCUGAGGCGCGAAAGCGUGGGGAGCGAACAGG